UAUAAUUGUGGUGCAUUUUUUUGUUUUUUGUUUUUGGUGGCCAUGGAAGUUCCUUCAAGUUCUUAUAAUGUUCAAACCAUUGCUUCUAUCUUAUAUUUUCAGGAUCUCAGCAGCUCAACUUUGUUCUGAAUGAUGCAACGAGAAACAAGGAAGAUAGCUAACCAGAGCUUUGAAUUUUAGGAGGGAGCUUAGAAGAGUUAUUGAACCACUAAAACAACUACUCAUUUUUGUCGUCUCUAAUUGGACCUCAAAGUCCAAAGAAAAUUGAAAGUUGAAUCAUCAGAUGGGCUCCACUUUGGCAAAAUAACAUCAAAAGAAGAAAAAAUUUGGUGGAAUUGAGAAUCAAACUGGGAAGUGAUUGGAUUAUUAUUAUUAUUGUAGCUUUGAUGAGUAGUAGUACCAGCUGAUUCCUCUCCACCAGUAGUUUCAAAAGGACUGCUCCAAGAAGAAGAUGAAUUAAUGUUGGUAAAAUUUGGUUGAUGAUCAUCUGAACAACAAGCUGAAUCCCUAAUAAACAUCUGACUUUUCAGCUUCUCCAAAGUUCUUGCUCUUGCUCUUUCUCUUGCCUUUUCUCUCAAUUCUUUGGCCAUGGUUUUUCUAAUUGGCAGUUGUUUGGCUCUCAUAAUCUUCUUCUUCUUGAUCUUCUUCUUACUAAUUUUGAUAUUAUUAUCUUUGGUAUUCAAAUUUUGAUCACCAAUAAUUACUCCAACUUCAUUAUCAAGCUCUGAAGAAUUGGAAUAAUUAGAAGAAGAAUUACUGAUCGUGAAACAAUUAUGGUUUUUUUUCUCUGUAGCAAGUUUCAAAAUUUCAGGCUUGGCUUGAAUCAACAACCAUUCAACUGUUUUGCUACCUUUAUCAACACCCAACAUGUCUUGUAAUCCAAAGAAUUGCUUAGCCACCGGUAAAGAAAGCCUCAUUCUUCUAUCUCUUACCCCUUUUGCUGUUGUGAUUUUGCUAUGUCUAUCUUUUUUUGACAAUCUUUUUCUUUGUGGGACUUUCUUCAUCAUCUUCUUCAUCUUUUGAUCUGAAUUCAUCACCACCAUGCUCAUGUUGUCAAUAGGAGGGCUAUUACAAGUGGAAAUAAUAGGAGGAGGAUUAUUAUUAUAAUUUUGAGAAGAAUUAGAGGGAGAAUUAGUAGUGAAAUUGAGAUCACGAUCAUCAUCAACUUCAAAAGGAGAAGGAAAGGGGAAGAAAGAGAUGGGAAGAUGGAAUGAAUGGUCAAGAUCAUGAGACAAAUUACCAAAUGGGUCAUGGACAUUUUUGGUAUUACCACUACUAUUUGUGGAGAAGAACAUGUUCCUUUUUUUUUUUUUUUUGGGAGAAAAAUUGUGGACAAAAAGACCUAGAUUUGAUGAUGGAAAUGGCUUGAAUUUGAUGACAAGUGCAAAACUUUGAAGAUGAAUAAAAGAAAUCUUCACAUCC
Long non-coding RNA from Cucumis sativus (cucumber), 1422 nucleotides. RefSeq lists it as uncharacterized. The record is from RefSeq and is a predicted model, not a curated record. The transcript has 4 exons. NCBI's taxonomy places the organism in Eukaryota, Viridiplantae, Streptophyta, Magnoliopsida, Cucurbitales, Cucurbitaceae.